GGAGGUAGUGACAAUAAAUCACAAUGCGGGACUAUCAGUCUUGCAAUUGGAUUGAGAACAAUGUACAACUCUUAUCGAUAAGCCAUUGGAGGGCAAGUCUGGUGCCAGCAGCCGCGGUAAUUCCAGCUCCAAUAGCGUAUAUUAACGUUGUUGCAGUUAAAAAGCUCGUAGUUGAAGUGUGGGUGGUGCCAUCUGUGAAGCUUCGGCUUCUAGGAUACUCACUACCCCCUUCCAGUAUCCAGUAGUGGGUAUUCAGUUACUUACUAUUGUGUGUUGGUCCUUUACUGUGAGAAAAUUAGAGUGUUCAAAGCAGGCGUUUGCUUGAAUAGAUUAGCAUGGAAUAAUAAUUGAAGGCUUUCGUGUUCGAUUUGAUUGGUUUGUUCAUGGAAGCAAGGUUAAAAGGAACAGUUGGGGGUAUUCAUAUUCACUAGUUAGAGGUGAAAUUCUCGGAUUUAUGGAAGAUGAACAAGUGCGAAAGCA
RNAcentral lists this ribosomal RNA (480 nucleotides) under Blastocystis sp. RNAcentral describes it as "SSU rRNA". It matches the Rfam family "Eukaryotic small subunit ribosomal RNA", at positions 460 to 953 of the family's 1831-position model. The record is from RNAcentral. Lineage: Eukaryota; Bigyra; Opalinata; Blastocystidae.